GAGUGCUUACUGGAUGAUUUCAUGGCUAUGUGGCACCCGGGAGAGCAGAUCAAGGAAGUUGUUAGGGUGGGGGAGGGAAAGGAUUACAAACAAGUUUGGCAGCUGGAAGAGGAUUUUUUUUUCUGUAAUGCUGCGUACGUACUCUCUUCCACUGCUGACAGCCAUGGGCCCCUAGGUAAAUCUUCAGCCAGCCACAGGUUGUGCCUAGACUGUGCCUAUCAGCAGAGUAUCUCAGCACCUUACGGUUGUACACUAAGCAACAUCUCCAAGCACUGUGCAGACACUGAUCCCUAGAUCACUCCUGUGAAGCAGGUAGAAAAAUGAAGCCUACACACUUGCCAUACCUGUUACUGACCUGCUUUCUUCUACAUGAGGCUGCCUGUAAACCCUUAAAACCCAAUUGUGAUCUUGUAAAAUGCAAGACAUGUCCAAAGCAACAUAUCGCAGUGGCAUUUAAGAACAAGUGCUGCGCAACCUGCGUCCCUACGUGUUCCUGCCCUGACCACCAGGAGUUUGAAUGCAACAUGCAAGGCUUUAAAUAUGGAAAGAUCCCCCUGGGAGAGUCUUACUACAUAGACUUUGCCACCACGAAGUGCACCUGUGUUUCUCCUGGGAAUAUCUCCUGCACCUCGCUUUGCCCUACGGUUUCUCCCACAUGCAAGGAAACAGGAGGAGUGGCUGAUGGCUGCCCUCAAUGUAUCUGUCACAUUGAGGAUUACAGUUUUGUAGUUGCUGGAAGUACCAUCCAAAGAGAUGCGGAGAUUUGCAAAUGUCCCCCUGAAGGUGGCAAGCUUCAGUGCACCCCCUCUAAAUCUCACAUUGCUAGUACACCCAGCGCCAACACAGAGUAGGCCCUGCUCUCAGCAUGAGCUAAGUGUCAGUGCCAAGGGAAGGUCUUUGUGGUUAGAAUAGAGGAGAAGUUCAGCAAUGUCCUUGGGCAGCUUAUGGAAAACUCACACAGAAUAUAAAAGAAACUGAUUGCCUUGCUAGAGGUGUUUUUGGUGGGGUCCCAGUGCCAGAACAGUGAAACCAUCUCAUGAAGGCUCCAGGGAACAUGCCCCACUCUGGAUUCAUGCCAUAGCCUAGUGAGGGACCAACCUUUUCAGCAGGCGUGCCAUGAAUUAACCCCACACCCUCCCUGAGGGCCCCUCUGAUCCCCUUCUCCUGUCCAGUCUGCUGCUCUGUUUUCUGCUCCCAGGCCUGUGCUCCCUGCCCUAUCUGUUGCUGUGCUGCCUGUCCCCUCCCCAGUCAGCUGUAUGCCACACACAGAGGCUGCUCAUGCCACCCCUAUCAUAGGCCAUCCCCUGUCAAUCAGGGUUUAAAAAGGUAUCUGGUCAUUCAGCCUAGCCACAUUGCUCCCUUUUGUGCUGAUUGCAUGCCUUAGCAAUGCUAACUUUAUGGGCAGCUAAGCUCAACUGGACCUUUGACUUAUGGGUGUUUCAAGCUGUCCUAUACAAUUUAAUAAAGAAUCAGAUUCCUGCUAUAGCAUUUCAUAGAGUUGCUAUCUUCUAUGAUAUCUAUAAGCCAGUUCAAAGCAUUUAUAGUAAGGCAACCUUUUUCUGUUUCUCUCUAGGAUUUCUCCAUGAUGGUGUCCAAGGUAGUUAGUACAAUAGAAGGUAGAUGGGGGGUGGGAAAUGCAGCUUAUUUAUUUAUUUAUGGGAUGAUUACACUUUUUUGUGUGAUUGUGUAAAUAUAGCUGGCAUAGGUAGCAAUGCCUGAUACAUUUCAUCAUGUUCUAAGCUCCUGUUUGCAGGUGUUUUGUUAAAUUUUAACCACUGGGGCUGCAAUGUUCCAUAGCAGGCGUCUGCUUCAGGUUCAGGACAUCAGCAAGUAUCAGUCCUGCCAUUUUUCAGCAUGAAGCCAAGGAAAACGACAGCCUUGGAACUGUUUCAAAAGUUUUAGCAUCUUUCUGUUUUAGAGCAAGGACUUGGUUCUGGCACGGGGGCUACCCUUGUAGUGGGGAUAUGCUUUUUGCUGUCUCCUGGAAGAUCUGGAGACAAAUAUGCCUAUGUUUUUAGUCUUUGGCAACUUUAUUUGGUGCAGGCUCAGGAGAAACAGAGUUGAGUUCAGCUGCCCAUCAAGCUGGCAUGACUAAAGCAUGGCAGGCAAAGACUCUGAAGAGUCUCUCAGUACUAAGCAUGUUCCCACUCGCCCAUCAUGACAUUGGACACAAGGCUCCUUCCUGCAGCCAGGAACUCUUGCAGUGCAAGGAACCAGAACUGAGAGACGGGGCCUGUGCGUUGUGACCUGAGACAAGGGCACUGAAUUAAGGUUGUACAGGCUACCGCCAUUCUGUCAUCUUCUGCCUUCUGAGCCUGUAACUAAAACCUAAAUGCUCUUUUGAUGCAUUUCCCUAUGUUAUAUACCAUCUACAGAAGACUGCUAUCAUUUCCCCUUGACUUAUCCUGUGUCUGAUACUCAGAAUUGGAGAUUUUCAUUCUUUCCUGCAUGGCAUCUCAUAGCCAUAGUGUCCACUGCCACAAACUUACUCAAAGAAAUUUCUUUCCUAAUAAUGAGUACAACUGUCCUACCUCUACUUGUGUCACUCACAACAGCUGAACUCAGGAGAAAGGUCACAGUAGCAUUUCAUUUUCCUUUUUUAACCAUAUAUAUAUAUACGAACAAUGUAACUAAAUCACGGCAUAUCUGAGGCUGAGAUGCUGGGAAAUGUUGGAUUCUGUUCCUUCUAUGUAUCCUAAUAAAAGCAAGUUUACAGAUUA
Molecule: long non-coding RNA, 2720 nt
Organism: Alligator mississippiensis (American alligator)
Lineage: Eukaryota; Metazoa; Chordata; Crocodylia; Alligatoridae
Exons: 3
Source: RefSeq, a predicted model, not a curated record